UACCAGCACCCCGAGUGGUCGGGACGAUUAUUGGGCCUAAAGCAUCCGUAGCCGGUCCUACAAGUCUUCCGUUAAAUCCACCUGCUUAACAGAUGGGCUGCGGAAGAUACUAUAGGGCUAGGAGGCGGGAGAGGCAAGCGGUACUCAAUGGGUAGGGGUAAAAUCCUCUGAUCCAUUGAAGACCACCAGUGGCGAAGGCGGCUUGCCAGAACGCGCUCGACGGUGAGGGAUGAAAGCUGGGGGAGCAAACCGG
This 253-nucleotide ribosomal RNA is filed under the name uncultured bacterium. RNAcentral's name for it is "partial 16S ribosomal RNA". It matches the Rfam family "Archaeal small subunit ribosomal RNA", at positions 474 to 727 of the family's 1478-position model. The record is from RNAcentral.